AGGAGCCGGAUGAAUCGAGAGAUUCACGUCCGGUUGCGUGAGAGCCUGAGGGUGAGAUCCCCUUGGGCUACUCGAC
Non-coding RNA from Candidatus Regiella insecticola LSR1, 76 nucleotides. Lineage: Bacteria; Pseudomonadati; Pseudomonadota; Gammaproteobacteria; Enterobacterales; Enterobacteriaceae. The record is from Rfam.